UCCGGUUUGACACCGGCAGUCUCGCUAGAGUCCCCGCCAUGACGCGCUGGCAACUAGCGACAGGGGUUGCGCUCGUUAAGGGACUUAACCCGACACUUCACAGCACGAGCUGACGACAGCCAUGCAGCACCUGUGCACGUUCCACCCGAGGGCGUCACCCUUGUUUCCAAGGACUAAUCCGUGCAUGUCAAACCCAGGUAAGGUUCUUCGCGUUGCUUCGAAUUAAGCAACAUGCUCCACCGCUUGUGUGAGCCCCCGUCAAUUCCUUUGAGUUUUAGCCUUGCGACCGUACUCCCCAGGCGGUGCACUUAACAAUUUCUCUCCGACCGUCACGGCGUCAAAACCGCAACAGUCUAGUGCACAUCGUUUACGGCGUGGACUAC
Molecule: unclassified non-coding RNA, 383 nt
Filed under: uncultured Phycisphaeraceae bacterium
Lineage: Bacteria; Pseudomonadati; Planctomycetota; Phycisphaerae; Phycisphaerales; Phycisphaeraceae
Description: contains 16S-23S intergenic spacer region
Source: RNAcentral